This 460-nucleotide ribosomal RNA is filed under the name uncultured bacterium. RNAcentral's name for it is "partial 16S ribosomal RNA". It matches the Rfam family "Bacterial small subunit ribosomal RNA", at positions 338 to 795 of the family's 1533-position model. The record is from RNAcentral.
CCUACGGGAGGCAGCAGUGAGGAAUAUUGGUCAAUGGGCGCGAGCCUGAACCAGCCAAGUAGCGUGAAGGAUGACUGCCCUACGGGUUGUAAACUUCUUUUAUAAAGGAAUAAAGUGAGGCACGUGUGCCUUUUUGUAUGUACUUUUUGAAUAAGGAUAGGCUACCUCCGUGCCAGCAGCCGCGGUAAUACGGAGGAUCCGAGCGUUAUCCGGAUUUAUUGGGUUUAAAGGGAGCGUAGAUGGGUUGUUAAGUCAGUUGGGAAAGUUUGCGGCUCAACCUUAAAAUUGCAAUUGAUACUGGCAGUCUUGAGUACAGUUGAGGUAGGCGGAAUUCGUGGUGUAGCGGUGAAAUGCUUAGAUAUCACGAAGAACACCGAUUGCGAAGGCAGCUUACUAAACUGCCACUGACAUUGAUGCUCGAAAGUGUGGGGAGCAAACAGGAUUAGAUACCCUAGUAGUC